Non-coding RNA from Alligator sinensis (Chinese alligator), 76 nucleotides. NCBI's taxonomy places the organism in Eukaryota, Metazoa, Chordata, Crocodylia, Alligatoridae. The record is from the annotation of a RefSeq genome assembly.
AGAAGGAUUAGUAUACUUCGUAUUACCUGUUCUUGUCAAGAGCAAAAAAUAGGACACUAAAUCCUAUACCCUUCUA